GAGCUAAGAACUUUAGAUUAAGCUAGGAUGAAUUAUAGAUUUGAUCUAAUCUGUAUGAUACUGGUAGACUUCCCAUGUUCAACAAGUUUGUCACGCCAUUGCAUAGAACAGGGAUUGAUUGAUAAACAAUAAAAAUGAAUGUUUUUCUUACAAAUUAAUUAUCAAUCAAAAACCAAAUAUAAGCUGAUAGUAAACAAGCCAAGCCAAACAAUAUCUAGGUGCAUCAUGAUACUUUUAAGUUUUAAUACAUUGGUUAACACAUUGAACAAAUUUUUAAUUAGGCUACAUUUCAUUGUUCUGGAAGUAGCUUUUGCAUUUUGCAAUACAAACAACAUAAGAAAUGGUUUCCCCCAAUUCAUUCUCAACUAGAGGGGCCUUAAUUGAACUAUUGAAGACAGACAAUUUUUCAUACAAAGGCUGUUAGGCCAAGACACUAUAAAAGUGGCAUUCCCUCACAAAUACCAUAUUAGCCCAUGGCAUAUUUCUGGGUCCAGCUUCUUGCAGUUGACUCGUAUUUGUUCCUAUCUGUCUUGUACAUAUGAGCAAUUUCAGGAACCAGAGGAUCAUCGGGAUUUGGGUCUGUCAACAAGGAACAAAUAGAGAGCAACACCUGUAGAUGUCAAAGAAAUAAAAAUAAUAAUUAGAUGCAACUCCACAACUAUAUCAGGAUACAUGAAAAGUUUUUGUUGUACUCUGUACUGAAUAACAUGAUGCCAAACUUCAAGCAAAACAGCCAUUCCAGAUUAGUUGCAUAAAAAUUACAUAGUAGGGAUAAGUGCAUUUUGGUCAAUCCCAGAGUUCGAAAGAUACUGGUGAACAUCAAGACUAAGGAACGUUAUGCCAAACUUCAACUCUCAACUGAACAUCAAAGACUAUUCCCUUUACUGAACAACAUUAUGCCAAACUUCAACUCUCAACUGAACAUCAAAGACUACUCUCUACUAAACAAUAUCAUGCCAAACUUCAAGCAAAACAGCCAUUCAAGAUUCUUUGCAUAUAGAUUAUAAAGUACGGACAAGUAGAUUUCAAUGAAUUCCACAAUUAUAAAGUAGGGAUCCUUAAAGAAUUUUUGUAGUUAUUGGAUUAUGAAACUCCCUGCACGGUGUUGUGUAAAACUAGCCAAACUUCAUGAAAGCCAUCCUCUAAACUUCAAGAGUUUAAUAACAGGGUAGAGUUUAACAACUUCAGGUGUUUAUAAAUUAGGUGUUACAUGGUUUUCUAUCUUGUCAUAGUGUAAACUAAUUUUAAGAAGUAACGAUAUAAUGUGGCAAGAUGACAAAAUAUAAUUAGACGUCUGUGUAAAACCUGCUUGCAUAAGUUCAAAAUUCACAGCAUAAAAUUAUUAAAUAGGGAUUAUAUGUUGUGACGAUUCCCCCCUAUUCAGUAAAUAAUGUUGACAGUAAGAAUAGGGGAAAAUGGAUUGCAUUAGUAAGCAUAUAUUCUUAUACUACAUAUUAUACAUAUUAAAUGUAUAAGGAGAUGCCAUUCAAAAGAAUAUUAGAUGUAAUAAAUAGGGACUAGUAUGGUGCGAUGAAUCCCUUGACAUGCAAAAAGAGAUGCCCUUCAAAUAUCAAGGCAAAAAGAAUAUUGAAUGUAAUAAAUAGGGACUAGUACACUGCGAAGAAUCCCUUGUUUGGUAAACACCAUUUGUCAUCAAGUGUACGGAACAAUCACGGCUUGGUUUAGAUAUGGAUUGUAUUGGAAGAAUAGGGUACAUACUUUAAGGAAUGAAGGUUUAUUUCACUAUCUAAUAAAUUGAUAAAACAGACCUUGGAAAUGGUUAGUGCAGGGCUCCACUGCUCCUUCAAUAUAUCAAGGCAAAUACUUCCAUUGCUGUUAAUGUUUGGGUGAAAUACCUUCGUCCUGAAUGCAACCUGAAAGAUCAAUCACCAUGCAUAGAUAUGUUCAUUCAUACUGAAUUUGUCAAUAAAUGAAUGCUUAAAUGACAAAGAAGCAAUCCAAAAUAAUAAGGGAAAAUGCAAAGCAGUAUUCUAUAAAAUAAACUAGCAAGAAAUGAAAACAGCUUUAAUCGACAAUACAGAAACAGACAUGGGAUAGAAAUAGAAACCUUGGGUGGCUUAAAGGGAUAAUCUGGAGGGAAAUGAAUAGAAACUAGGAAAACACCUCCAGAAUACGGACUGUCUGAAGGACCCAUAAUUGUUGCUUGCCAAUGAAACAUAUCUUCAGCAACCGGGCCUGCAAUGUAUUGAGUAUGAAACAAAGUCAAAACAACAAUAUAAGCAUAAAUUGUUCUUCAUGCCAGCACAAAUAGUGUACCUAAAAUGACAUGGCGCUACAUAAUAUCCCACUACUCAUCAUGUAAAUUGGCAUACAGAUAAAUUAACUUAUCAGAUAAAGUAGUUUCAUCAUACAUGGCCACUUCUCAAAAAAAAUUGCAAUUGCUAUAUACACAAUAGGAAAUAAGUUUAAGAAUAUUUGGCACUGAAAAAUAUCCAUGAUUAAAUAUUUUCCUGAUUCAGGUAAUGACUGGACCAUAGUCCAAAUACAAUAUGUAAAUUCAAAACAUCAAUCAGUACACAACUACAGCAACUACAACUUCCAUUUCUGCAGAAUCUGGUCACAUAACACACAACAGCACCAACAGAUUCAUAAUUUAAGCAAUAGCAUUGCCAAGUAAAAAGAGAUGAAUAUAGGUUGAUACUUCUAUAAUCAAAAGCCUACACAAUCGACAACAAUCUAUGAAAACAUAUAAAAGUCAAAGAAAUCCACUCUUCAGCAACAUCGUGGAAUCCGAUAACCGCCCCCACACAGAACAAAACAAACACUGUCCUAGGGACUAUUUGAAUCAGCUUAUUUGAGCUUAUCUCCCGACAUAAGCACCUGUGAGACUGCUUGAGAGAACUUAUGAAAGCAGCUUAUAACAUGUUCGUAUGUUGUUUUCAACUUAUUUUCAUAAGUUCUCCAAAAUAGCUUGUGAAAACAGCUUAUAUGAAAAAAUAAUUUUAUCUUAUCUCUAAUAGUAAAAAUGGCUUAUACAUAAGCACUUAUCAUAACUAUCGUAUAUGCUAUAGGUUGCAAAUUAAGUUGUUUAUCCGAAAAGGCCCGAAUCCAAAGAUGAAAGUAAAACCAAUCUCAAAUAACAUCUACUACAACCAAUUAAAACAAUUAACAAUCUCAAACAAAAACGAAAAACAUAAAAUUCUCAACAUGAAGUUACAAUAUUGUAAUUUAUCAACAAAUCACAAACUAUAAACACACCUGAAUCGAACUUAAAAUUGAUCUAAUAACAAAAAAUAAGCAGCAAAUAUAUGAUUCCAAUUGAAAAAGAGCAAAAAAAAUAUACAUAAAAAUAUCAAUCAAAAUUAAAAAAAUAAAAUAAAAAAAAGAAAUAUAUAUACCAGCACUGCACGAAGUUGGAGGAUCCUUCUGCAAAUCCUUGAGUUCUUUCAAUAUCCGUUUUGAAGCCAUAGCAAAAACCUAACAAAAACAGAUCGAAAACAAAAACCAGCUUAAAAAUCAAAACGAAUAGAUCGAAAACAGAAAAUCGUAGAUGAUGAUGAUUGAUUACCUAGAGAUAACGCAAGAGAGAUCCUCCUUUGAAUUUGCAAGGAAUUGAAGAACGAAUGAAAAGGAGUUGUUGGAUAUAAAUAAAUGGUGUUGGUGCUUUUUUGAAAUUUUGGGAAUGAGAUAUUAUUAAUUGGUGUUAAUGAUUGUGAUAAUUGUAUUUAUUUAGAUUUAGAUUAGAUUAAAUUAGAUUCCAAACGAUGACUCGUUAUUGAAGGAAUCUUUUACUUUUGUUUUGUCCACGCGGAAGGGGGUCAGAACAGAAGAAACGAAUCGAGGGUAAUAUUGGUUCUUGCUCUUUGUUCUAUUUUGUGAUGAUUGAUGCAUUGAAUCUAGGUUCCAAACUUCCAAUUUAGCAAGAAAAAUGCUAAAAUAUGUAGUAUUAAUUAUUAAAGAUAUUGUUUAAAAAUUUAUAAAAUUUUAUUUGGAAAUAGUAUAGGUCAAAUAUUUCUUAAAUUAAUAAGUAUAUUAUUUUUUUUAUAUAAAAGUAAAUUUUUUAAUUUUUCUUUUUUGAUUUACAAUGAGUUUGAGAUCGAACUCAGGACCUAUUAGGAUUCUUUCUAUUUUUCAAUGGAAAUAGAAAGUUCUAUUUAAAGAUAGCCACAAAUAAGUUUAAAUUAUUUUAAAAAUAUUAAAUGAUGACGGAAUUCACUUGAUAAUGAAACUCACUACCUGUUUUUUAAUUUUUAUGUGUAUGUCUCUCUAAUGGAGUUUUUCAUUUUUUUGAAAAAUAUAGAGGAUCCUAACUUGAGAAAUAUAUUGUUAUUAGAUCGCAUCCUUGUAUAAACACACCCACUCUCUUCUCUAUGUCAUGUGGAUAAGAUAAGUAAAAAAAAGUUAAAAAUCUAUUUGUAUAACUAGUAAAUGAGACAAUAUAAGUGAUUGUUGUUCUAUUCAACCGCCACAUCACAAUCCUUAGGUAAAAGAGAUGGUCUACAUAAGACUAACCAAACCACUUUAAGGUUGGAUAUGAUGGAUUACGGUAUUGUAAAGGAGCUGGAGAAUCUCAAAACUAUGACGAUCUUUUCAGUAGCUCCGAAGGCAAAUGAAUGAAAAAAAUACAAUAGAAAGAGUUGAGUUUUUUUAAAAAACAAAUUGCAAAUUAUUAGUAUAUUAAUUGUUACAUUAGUUGUUUACACUUUGUCAGAACUUGAACUUUGUACCUCCAACUCUGUUAACCAUUAACUAGUUCAACUAGUUGAACUACUCAUCCCACCCAUUAGAAAAAGAUGAGUGUGUGAUGACAGAAUUGUGAGACAUAUAUCUAAGUUCGAAGUUUGGAUAUAGCUUAAAGAAAAAGGUAUUUUUGGCGUUAUUGAUUAAAGAAAAAGAUAUAGAUUAGAUUAAGCUACGAUAACUUAUAUUUGAUCUAAUGUGAACGAUACUGGCAGACUUGCCAUGUUCAACAAGUUUUUGGCGUCAUUGCAUAGAACAGGGAUUGAUAAACAACAAAAAUUAAUGUUUUUCUUACAAAUUAAUUAAUUAUUAAUCAAAAUCAAAAUAUAAGCUAAUAGUAAACAAGCCAAACAAUAUCUAGGUGCAUCAUGAUACUGUUAAUACAUUGGUUAACACAUUGGACAAACUUUUAAUUAGGUUACAUUCCAUUGUUCUAGAAGUAGCUUUGCAACAACAUAAGAAAUGGCUCCCCCAAUUCAUUCUCAACUAGAGGGGCCUUAAUUGAACUAUUGAAGACGACAAUUUUUCAUACAAAG
RNAcentral lists this long non-coding RNA (5237 nucleotides) under Trifolium pratense (red clover). RNAcentral's name for it is "long non-coding RNA (TPRA_LNC000312)". The record is from RNAcentral. Lineage: Eukaryota; Viridiplantae; Streptophyta; Magnoliopsida; Fabales; Fabaceae.